This 253-nucleotide ribosomal RNA is filed under the name uncultured bacterium. RNAcentral describes it as "partial 16S ribosomal RNA". It matches the Rfam family "Bacterial small subunit ribosomal RNA", at positions 524 to 776 of the family's 1533-position model. The record is from RNAcentral.
UACAGAGGUCUCAAGCGUUGUUCGGAUUCAUUGGGCGUAAAGGGUGCGCAGGUGGCAGUGCAAGUCGAGUGUGAAAUUUCGGGGCUCAACCCCGAAACUGCACUUGAUACUGCAUUGCUCGAGGACUGUAGAGGAGAGUGGAAUUCACGGUGUAGCAGUGAAAUGCGUAGAUAUCGUGAGGAAGACCAGUUGCGAAGGCGACUCUCUGGGCAGCUCCUGACACUCAUGCACGAAGGCCAGGGGAGCAAACGGG